GUGCCAGCCGCCGCGGUAAGACGAACCGUGCGAACGUUGUUCGGAUUCACUGGGCUUAAAGGGCGCGUAGGCGGAUCACCAAGUCCGGGGUGAAAUCUUUCGGCUCAACCGGAAAAUGGCCUGGGAUACUGGUGGUCUUGAGGGAGGUAGGGGCAUGCGGAACUUCCGGUGGAGCGGUGAAAUGCGUAGAUAUCGGAAGGAACGCCGGUGGCGAAAGCGGCGUGCUGGACCUCUUCUGACGCUGAUGCGCGAAAGCCAGGGGAGCAAACGGGAUUAGAUACCCCCGUAGUCC
Molecule: ribosomal RNA, 292 nt
Filed under: uncultured bacterium
Lineage: Bacteria
Description: partial 16S ribosomal RNA
Rfam family: Bacterial small subunit ribosomal RNA
Source: RNAcentral